AUUGAACGCUGGCGGCGUGCCUAAUACAUGCAAGUAGGACGAGUUGCGAACGGGUUAGUAACGUGUGGUAACCUGCCUAUUUGCUGGGGAUAACUACUGGAAACGGUAGCUAAUACCGCAUACCAUCGGAUGUGCCCAGAUGGGAUUAGCUAGUAGGUGGGGUAAAUACUCACCUAGGCGACGAUCCCUAGCUGGUCUGAUAGGUGGACCAGCCACACUGGAAUGGAGACACUGUCCAGACUCCUACGGGAGGCAGCAGUGGGGAAUAUUGCACAAUGGGCGCAAGCAUGCUGAAGCCAUGCCGCGUGUAUGAAGAAGGCCUUCGGGUUGUAAAGUACUUUCAGCGGGGAGGCGUUACCCGCAGAAGAAGCACCGGCUAACUCCGUGUCAGCAGCCGCGGUAAUAC
RNAcentral lists this ribosomal RNA (406 nucleotides) under uncultured bacterium. RNAcentral describes it as "partial 16S ribosomal RNA". It matches the Rfam family "Bacterial small subunit ribosomal RNA", at positions 30 to 526 of the family's 1533-position model. The record is from RNAcentral.